AACGAACGCUGGCGGCAGGCCUAAUACAUGCAAGUCGAACGCCGUAGCAAUACGGAGUGGCAGACGGGUGAGUAACGCGUGGGAACCUUCCUAAUGGUACGGAAUAGCCCGGGGAAACCCGGAGUAAUACCGUAUAAGCCCGUAAGGGGAAAGAUUUAUCGCCAUUAGAUGGGCCCGCGUCGGAUUAGCUAGUUGGUAGGGUAACGGCCUACCAAGGCUACGAUCCGUAGCUGGUCUGAGAGGAUGAUCAGCCACACUGGGACUGAGACACGGCCCAGACUCCUACGGGAGGCAGCAGUAGGGAAUAUUGGACAAUGGGCGAAAGCCUGAUCCAGCCAUGCCGCGUGAGUGAUGAAGGCCU
Molecule: ribosomal RNA, 361 nt
Filed under: uncultured bacterium
Lineage: Bacteria
Description: bacterial SSU rRNA
Rfam family: Bacterial small subunit ribosomal RNA
Source: RNAcentral